Molecule: ribosomal RNA, 1053 nt
Filed under: uncultured bacterium
Lineage: Bacteria
Description: bacterial SSU rRNA
Rfam family: Bacterial small subunit ribosomal RNA
Source: RNAcentral
UCCGAUUCCUACGGGAGGCAGCAGUGGGGAAUAUUGCGCAAUGGGCGAAAGCCUGACGCAGCGACGCCGCGUGGGGGAUGAAGCUUCUCGGAGUGUAAACCCCUUUCGACCCGGACGAAUGACCCGCAAGGGUUUGACGGUACGGGUAUAAGAAGCCCCGGCUAACUACGUGCCAGCAGCCGCGGUAAUACGUAGGGGGCCAGCGUUGCUCGGAAUUACUGGGCGUAAAGGGUUCGUAGGUGGUGCGGCAAGUUGGAAGUGAAAUCUCUGGGCUUAACCCAGAGGCUGCUUUCAAAACUGCCGUGCUCGAGUGCGAGAGAGGUCAGUGGAAUUGCAGGUGUAGCGGUGAAAUGCGUAGAUAUCUGCAGGAACACCCGUGGCGAAGGCGGCUGACUGGAUCGCAACUGACACUGAGGAACGAAAGCUAGGGGAGCAAACAGGAUUAGAUACCCUGGUAGUCCUAGCCCUAAACCAUCGGAACUUGGGGUGGCCCGCGUAGGCGGGUCGUCCCGUAGCUAACGCGUUAAGUUCCGCGCCUGGGGAGUACGGUCGCAAGACUGAAACUCAAAGGAAUUGACGGGGGCCCGCACAAGCGGUGGAACAUGUGGUUCAAUUCGACGCAACGCGAAGAACCUUACCUGGGCUUGAACCGCUACUGACCAAGGGUAGAAAUAUCCUCUUCCCGCAAGGGACAGUAGUAGAGGUGCUGCAUGGCUGUCGUCAGCUCGUGCCGUGAGGUGUUGGGUUAAGUCCCGCAACGAGCGCAACCCUUACUCGUAGUUGCUACCCGCAAGGGAGAACUCUACGAGGACUGCUCCGGAUAACGGAGAGGAAGGUGGGGAUGACGUCAAGUCAGCACGGCCUUUAUGUCCAGGGCUACACACGUGUUACAAUGCAUGGUACAGACUGUUGCGAACCCGCGAGGGGGAGCUAAUCGGACAAAACCAUGCUCAGUUCGGAUUGCAGUCUGCAACUCGGCUGCAUGAAGCUGGAAUCGCUAGUAAUGGCGUAUCAGAUCGACCCCGUGAAUACGUUCCCGGGCCUUGUACACAC